GUGUUGUAUGAAAGGAGAGAAGCUUAGCACUCCCCUUGACAAGAAUGGUGGAGGCUGUCAGGCCUGACAACACACGUACAGUUAAGGCAUUGCCACCUACUUUGUGGCAUCUAACCAUUUUUU
Sapajus apella (tufted capuchin) is the source of this 123-nucleotide small nuclear RNA. The record is from RefSeq and is a predicted model, not a curated record. NCBI's taxonomy places the organism in Eukaryota, Metazoa, Chordata, Mammalia, Primates, Cebidae.